GAAUAUUGGACAAUGGGCGCAAGCCUGAUCCAGCAAUACCGCGUGUGUGAAGAAGGCCUGAGGGUUGUAAAGCACUUUCAAUUGGGAGGAAAACCUGUCGGCCAAUACCCGGCAGCUUGACAUUACCUUUAGAAGAAGCACCGGCUAACUCCGUGCCAGCAGCCGCGGUAAUACGGAGGGUGCGAGCGUUAAUCGGAAUUACUGGGCGUAAAGCGUGCGUAGGCGGUUAUUUAAGUCAGAUGUGAAAGCCCCGGGCUUAACCUGGGAACUGCAUUUGAUACUGGGUAACUAGAGUUUAGUAGAGGAGAGUGGAAUUUCAGGUGUAGCGGUGAAAUGCGUAGAGAUCGGAAGGAACACCCAGU
RNAcentral lists this ribosomal RNA (362 nucleotides) under uncultured Methylobacter sp. RNAcentral describes it as "bacterial SSU rRNA". It matches the Rfam family "Bacterial small subunit ribosomal RNA", at positions 359 to 714 of the family's 1533-position model. The record is from RNAcentral. Lineage: Bacteria; Pseudomonadati; Pseudomonadota; Gammaproteobacteria; Methylococcales; Methylococcaceae.